AAAAAAGGCCAUUUUAGAAGCGGCCGAUCCCUCCACGAUAACCUGUCACUGGCAGCAAACGGGUCCCUCUCCUCCCGACUGGCUCUCUCGCCUUUGCUUGCUUCAAGCCCUUCUCAACAUGAAGCUCGACGAGUUUUUGAUGAAGUUGAACAAUGAAACGGUGUCGAUUGAGCUCAAGAACGGCCACCAUCACAGGCUUGGGGCUGUAGGGGCUGAGGAAUUUCAAUUUGUUGUUCAACUCAAAAGGAAAAUUCAUGUUUGAGAGGUCUGGAGCAGCUUACGUGAUUCCAUAUCCACAACAGUAGCAGAGCAAUGGCUUUGCUGAAUAGAAAACUUGGGUCCUUAUUGGUUUCCACAUCUGUCAACUACAAUCCCUGCUUUGCACUACCCAAAUCCACCACCAUCCACUCUCGCUCUCUCUCGCAAUUAAACAAUAAUGAUUCAAUUGUCAAUUCCAUCUCUGAUUCAUUCAAGAAAACCCAUAACUGGGAUACUCUCACCAAGACCUUCUCUUCUGUCCAAUUAACCCAUUCUCUUGUUCAACAAGUACUCCUCCAACUGAAGCAGCCCGAGCAUGCAAGAUCUGCUCUAAAUUUCUUUUAUUGGUCAGCAAAGUCCCAAAACUUUCGACACCAAAUCUAUUCUUACUGCAUUGCGAUUCAUAUUCUAGUCCAUGCAAAACAACUCCCUGAAGCUAAAAUAUUGCUCCACUCAGCUUUAAAAACAAGUGAACCCGAUUCAACAAGAUCCUGCAUAUUGGAAUCUUUACUGGGCAGUUACAAUGUUGUUGGUUCCAGUCCUUUGGUGUUCGAUUUACUGGUUCAGGCCUAUGCAAAGUUGAGAAUGUUGGAGGAUGCUUUUGAGGUUUGUUGUUACUUAGAGAAUCAUGGAUUUUCUUUGACCUUGUUAAGUUUUAAUGCUUUGCUUCAUGGGAUACUGAAAUCUGGUGAAAAUGUGAUGGUUUGGAAGGUUUAUGAGCACAUGAUUGAUAAAAGAAAAUACCCCAAUGAAAUUACAAUAAGAACAAUGAUUAGUGCUUUGUGUAAGGAAGGGAAGUUGCAAGUUGUUAUGGAUUUGCUGGACAAGAUUGUUGGCAAGAGAUGCUCACCAAUAGUUGUUGUUAAUGCACAUUUGGUGUUUAAGGUUAUAGAACAGGGUAGAAUUGAAGAUGGUAUCGAAUUAUUGAAGAGAAUGUUGCAAAAAAAUUUAAUUCUUGAUACCAUUGCUUACUCUUUUGUUGUCUAUACUAAAUUGAAGCUUGGGAAUUUGGAAUUGGCAUGGGAGGUGCAUGAAGAAAUGCUUAAGAGAGGAUUUAUUGCCAACUCUUUUUUGUUUUCAUCGUUUAUAAGAGCGUAUUCUGAAAGAGGAAGAAUUCAUGAAGCAGAAAACAUGUUGCAAGAGAUGGAAAAUAUGGGUUUGAAGCCGUAUGAUGAAACUUUUAAUUAUCUAAUUGAGGGUUGUGCUAAAGCAGGAGAAAUGAAGGCAAGUGUGAGACACUGUGAGGAAAUGAUUAGGAGGGGACUUGUUCCUAGUUGUUCCACUUUUAAUGAGAUGGUGAGAGGGCUUUGCAAAAUUGGGGAUUCAGAGAAUGCUAAUGCGCUCUUAACUCUUGUUUUAGAUAAAGGGUUCUUACCUAAUGAGAUCACAUAUUCUCAUCUUAUUGCUGGUUAUGGAAAAGAGGGGAACAUUCAACAGGUUUUCAAACUCUACUAUGAAAUGGAGUACAAAUCAUUGUCUCCUGGAUUACCAGUUUUUACGGCCUUGAUCAGAAGUCUGUGUCACUGUGGAAAACUAGAGGAAGCAGAAAGGUAUUUAAGAAUAAUGAAAGAUCGUUCUGUGGUCUUGAGUGAGGACAUAUGUGAAGCUUUAAUCACUUGUCACUUCGAAAAGGGUAACAAAACAGGGGCUGGUCUCAUAUAUAAUGAAAUGGUUGCAAGAGGAAUGAAGCCCCAGAAGUGGGGGAAUUUUACACAAAUAUCUGAGGCUGUAGAAGGAAGUGACUAGCGUGAAGGACAUUGCAAAGACAAUCCCUGAAAGGUAAUAAAUUGCAAGGACAACCUUUGAUGAUAGUGAUUAAUAGACUUCACCCCAAGUGGCCUGGGCUUCCUAUGUCAGCAUACAUGCAUUUCUAGUUAUGCAGAGACACUAGGUAGUUGGCACUGAACUUCUUGAAAGUUUAGUGAAAAUGGCUCCGAAAAAGAAAGAGCAUAAGGUGUAGGAGUGUAAAGAUAAUUCAUCACUCAAGGUAGGUAAUAACUCAUACAGCCAUUGGGGAUCUAUCAUGACAAGUCAGAACUUAAUUUGUUGAUGAUGCAAAUUUUUGCACUAGAGAAAUGCAAGAGUAUAGACUAUAGACAAUGGAGAGGUAGGCUUUCAAGGCACUACAGAACGUAUAGAACAGAUACAGAACAGUUGGCAGACGCUCCUAUAUAUGCAUAGAAAUGAAUGUUAAUCUAUAAUGUGUGUAUUUGCUUUAGAAGAAUUUUAGGUUCAGGUUUUUUUUAAAAAUUUUGCUGUUACUUUUGCAUUUUCUGAAAAAAAAAGAGUAAAAUCUCUAGUUGAUUUUUUUUUGGUCCAAAUAAAUUUCAAUUAACUCAAUAUGGUUCAUUAAUACAGAUAAGAAGUAUUACAAAUACAGUGAAUAAAGCAUCUCAAGUGGUCAAGUAUACUGUGGGUCUCGUUUCUUUUGUGGAAAAAGAUCAUAACUCUGGAAUGUAUUUAUUAAGUCAUUGGUUGUGAUGUCUAACCUGUUUCUUCCAAGUAUUGAUUGGUUGAGUGUAUUUCAAUUUUUGAGUGUUUAUUUUGUUGUACAUAAAGUGAGCUCUGAAUCUCAAACUCUGUGGAAUAUAAAAUACUGAUUAAAGGAGAAAGCAUGAGUUUUGUUUACUUGAUUGUAAGCAGAAACAUAUUGAGUAGGUGGUGUUGUUGGCACGUAUUGCUAUUGUUUUGUUGGUAACCACCAAUAUUGCUUCUCAUAAUUUCUCUAUUCUUUAUGGCAGAGGGAUCCAAUCACCCAAGAACUUCCUGAUGCUGCUUUAUCUGGUUAUGGUGAGCAUACAAGGAAAUCAUCAGAAGGUGACAUUUUUGGCCUGAUGAAAAGUCUUAGCAAAUGAAUUUAUGAUCGUUUACUUGUUGCCAUUUUGUUGAUCUCAAAAAUAAAUAUCUCUGUUUAAUAACUAUAAAUUAAAAAGGUUCAUAAUUUAUGCUGGAUCAGCUUAUGUAAUGUGUAGAAUAUGAACUUUCUAUGACUAGAGAUGCAGGGUCAGCUUAUGGAAUGUGUGGAACACGAACAUUCUAUGACUGGAUAGGAUAUUUGGCAUUAGGUCAGCUUAUGUUCGUGGCAAGGAGAGUGGAUGGAAGGGUAAGAUUAAGGUUUCUACUUCUAAUGUGGAAAGAGAGUUUGAAGUGGUGCAAAGCCUCUGAGAAAACAUAGAGGAUGAGCAGAUGAAAAGGGAAAGGUUGGAGGGUUGAAUGGAACCGCAAGUUGAGGAGAGACUUGGGCAGUGCUCCGAUUAAAUGUUUACCAUGUGCAUGCAGUAGAUGCUAUUGGUUAUGCAUUCAAUAGCAUUAUCCUCAUCCCAACAAGCUCACAGUGUAUCAAAGGUCUGCAUCAAAUCACGAUUCUAAGAUAUUUCUAUAUUGUUUCUCUUUGUUGGUUUGCUUUAUAUAAUUUUCUUAUGGGCCUAUAUGGAAAAUGUAAUAUCAGCUCAUCUACUUAGACUGGCAAUACCCUUGAAACAAUAAAUUCUCCAUGAAAGUACAGAAGGCCUUUGUAAUAGCUGGUCUCGAUUUUUCCAAUCAUGUUUGUUUUCAGGUU
Theobroma umbraticum is the source of this 3817-nucleotide RNA transcript. It is a transcript of the gene named Pentatricopeptide repeat (PPR) superfamily protein, with no coding region annotated. The record is from RefSeq and is a predicted model, not a curated record. Lineage: Eukaryota; Viridiplantae; Streptophyta; Magnoliopsida; Malvales; Malvaceae.